CUAAAAGAAUAGGACAAUGACUAAUACAAAUUCAGUUUUUCCACAUUAUAAAAAGUGAAACACACAUCAAUGUGAAUAAAGAUAUACAUGCUCAGGAAGCACAUAAUAAUUUUCCCUUUGAAUAAAGAAUGUUCUCGUUCUAUCAACAAUGCGGUCAAAAAGAAGAGUAAAAUUCUAAGAUUCACUUGUCAAGAUAAAGUCCUUUCCAAAUGGAUAAAUGGACGAAUCUCUCAGAACUGUCAACACGUGAUGCGCUAUUCGAAGAUACAGAGCAGGGAGCCAAAAGACUAUAUUGCACUCCCAACUUCAAUGAAUACAAUGCGAUAACCAAGGUCCAUUGUCACCAACAGAUAUACCGCCCUCAAUUUCCAUUUGAGGACUCAUGUACCAUGGAUUGGAAGAGUAAAAAUAUUCAAUCCAACAAUGCGAAAUAUACACAAACAACUAAAGGACAAUUUUGUCAUUCACUGCAUGCUAUUGUUCAAUUUCUCAAAUUUCUGUGCAAUUGCACGAUGAUUGUUGCUCUCAUACACUUCAAUGAGUGAAUGAAUUGCCUUGGAUAUCACCUGUUUCUUUUGGCUUCCAGUCUCAGGGCUACUAGUCUCCCCCAGCGUAGAGCAUAAACCCUUUAACCAAUCCUCCAGAAAUGAGGCUUUCUUCACAAGGAAAUCUUUCAAAGGUUGGUGAUCAGUGUUUGAAGCAAAGCUAAGCACAUGCAACAUGGUUGAUGUUAUCUGCUUAUCAAGUGCAACCCUGUAUUUGAAACUAGAUGGCGCAUAUAUUUGGUCUGAAGCUAGAUUUUCAAUUAUAUGCUCCAGACCUUGGACAACAUCUGAGAAGGAUAUACCAUAGCCAUGCACCGAAGCUGGCACAGCCAACGCAGCAGCAGCUUGUAUCCUGAUCUUAAAGUUUGAAGAAUCACGUAGCAGUAAUAGAAGAACACUAAAAACAGAUGGAGCCCAAUCCAUAUCUUGCAGUCUUAAUGUCUCAUUUAGAAAUAGAUUGCUCAGUGCAUGACAAACAUUCCAUUGGACCUUAACAUUCCCAGUCAUAACACAAGAAAGGAAUGCUUGAACCAUUCUCUCCAGCAAAAGUAGAUCUCCUGAUGAAGAAGAUUUUGAUUUGCAUCCUAGACCACAAUGCAGAUUACUGCUUGCUGGCAACACCCUAAUGUUGUUUGAUAAGUCCAGAGAAUCCGUAGGCUUACCAUGUUUGCCACCAGUGUAUCUGAUAAACCUGGAAAGGUUUCCAAGAGCUCUCACAGCAUUGGAUUUGAUCUUGUCACCAUCUUUCGUUAGACGCAAAGCACAAUCAGCUAAGAAUUCCAUUAAUCGAGUGUUUGCAUUUGAAUCUGACAACUUGUCUAAAGGAAAAUCAUUGAUACAGUGACGUAGAGAAUCACAAAUGUUUGCAAAAGCCCAUGAAGAUGUUAUUCGCACCAUAGCCAAGGGAUCAUGAGUGUUGAUCUCAAUCGCGUGGAUAAACUUGGCAAGAAUCUCUGCGCUGUGAGAUAUUUGUGGAAAACAAGAGAUGACACCAAUAGCUCGACAAGCAGCUGACCUAACUGAAGGAACCUCAUCAUCUACAGCAGCAUUGAUCAAAGAAGAAACAACAAACUCCUGUUUCUCCUUUGAGAGAGAGAUGAAUACAGAAGAAGUAAUGCCCGCGAAACAAGUCAGAGAUGCAGUUCUCACCAUGGCAGAAGAAUGCCACAUUAUCAGAGGUAUGUGAUUCUUUAUUGUUAUAGACCAAUGCUCAAUUCCCAACUCAAAUUUCUUUGGUUCUCCAUUGGUAUCUUCUGCACUUUCUGGUUCAUAUGAUGGUGCUGAUGAUACUUUCUUCAUCCUUAUGCAAUCAGAUACAAAUGAGGUAUCCAAUAAUUUAUCAUCCAAAAGAUCUUCAGUUCCUUUAAAUCCAGAUAUUGCACGAAGACACUCAUCCAAAACCUUUACAGCAGCAGUCUUGACUUUUUCCCCAUUAAACCCAACAUUUUCUCCCAUAUGUCCCUUCCAUGCCCUUACAGGAACUUCUGGAGUAGCAAAUUUCACAAUUUUGGAGAAUAUGAUGGAAAUUUGUUCCCAGCAUGCAAAUGCUAUGUUUGGGUAAUUGUGUAUAACAGCUCUAAGGGCCUGCAACACAUAAUUAGUGAUGCAAUUGAUAGAGAACAACAAGAGACUAGUUAGGAUGUGAUUUUUUGGGAUUACUUGCAUAUCCAAACUGUAUAUUUCUUAAAUGAGAUAUUCAGUAUUAAUUAGGAUUUUGUUAAGAAAUUUAACAUCAGUAUUAAUUAGGAUAUUUUGACAUUAGGUUUCAAUUUAUAUAUUCCCUAUUUUGUGGUGGCCUACUGCCUCUAAGUCAGCACCCUACUAUGAUAUUCAGACAGUCUGGGAUGAAUUGAAUCAAGAGUUCAGUUUUCAGUUUUCCCUUUUCUCAUGCUUUCUCUUCUAGUCUGUUAUUUUUGUUCUAAGUUCUCUUCUUGGUUCUUCACAAUCUUUAUUUUAUUCUACAUCAGUAAUAAUUCUUAAACAGCAACAUACAACUAAAUUAGGAGUUAAAUACUUGGGAAGCAUGUGCAUAGCCAAGAUUAACAAAAUCAAAAUCACUCAGAAAUGGUUUCAACUCCUUCUGCAAAUACUGCAGUUUAUCAUGAACUUGAUUUUCAGCUUCAGAAACAGGUUACAUUUCCUCUUUCAAUUUUAUAGACUGGAGAGCCUUUGAUUACAAAGCCAUUUGAUCAAGGCAUCAAGCACAAUAUCAGUUGCUUGUUCAAAAAUGGUUGAAAAAACAAAACCAUAUAUGUAUCCAAAGAACAAAAAACAUCAGAGCACACCAUGAGGGAAACCAUAAGCUCAUGCAGAAUGCUACUGAUAAAAUAAAUUCAGUGGCAUGUAUCAAAUGAGUAAAUUUCACUCGUUGUCCUUGAACUUAGAGCAUUGUUACAUUGUCAUCCAAAAAUUUCAAAUUGUAACGUAAAACCCCAAUGACUUCAAUUUAAACCUUUUCUAAAGGUUUCUGGUAAUGAUCUGACAUGCCAUGCUCCAAAGAAAAAAAAUAUAUUUUUUCUUUCCUCUUCAAUCCAUUGUCUCUUUCAUUCUUGUUUCUCUCUCAUUCUUGUUCCUCUAGUUUCUCUCGGCUCAAUCCUUAAAGUAGAUGGGGGAUGUGAGGAGUAUGUUAGUCAUAGGAUUAAAGCC
Molecule: unclassified non-coding RNA, 3191 nt
Filed under: Hevea brasiliensis (rubber tree)
Lineage: Eukaryota; Viridiplantae; Streptophyta; Magnoliopsida; Malpighiales; Euphorbiaceae
Source: RNAcentral